CCAGACUCCUACGGGAGGCAGCAGUGGGGAAUAUUGCACAAUGGGCGCAAGCCUGAUGCAGCGACGCCGCGUGAGGGAUGGAGGCCUUCGGGUUGUGAACCUCUUUCGCUCAUGGUCAAGCCGCAACAAUGGUUGUGGUGAGGGUAGUGGGUAAAGAAGCGCCGGCUAACUACGUGCCAGCAGCCGCGGUAAUACGUAGGGCGCGAGCGUUGUCCGGAAUUAUUGGGCGUAAAGGGCUUGUAGGCGGUUGGUCGCGUCUGCCGUGAAAUCCUCUGGCUUAACUGGGGGCGUGCGGUGGGUACGGGCUGACUUGAGUGCGGUAGGGGAGACUGGAACUCCUGGUGUAGCGGUGGAAUGCGCAGAUAUCAGGAAGAACACCGGUGGCGAAGGCGGGUCUCUGGGCCGUUACUGACGCUGAGGAGCGAAAGCGUGGGGAGCGAACAGGAUUAGAUACCCUGGUAGUCCACGCUGUAAACGUUGGGCACUAGGUGUGGGGGCCACCCGUGGUUUCUGCGCCGUAGCUAACGCUUUAAGUGCCCCGCCUGGGGAGUACGGCCGCAAGGCUAAAACUCAAAGGAAUUGACGGGGGCCCGCACAAG
Molecule: ribosomal RNA, 599 nt
Filed under: uncultured bacterium
Lineage: Bacteria
Description: bacterial SSU rRNA
Rfam family: Bacterial small subunit ribosomal RNA
Source: RNAcentral